This 261-nucleotide unclassified non-coding RNA is filed under the name plant metagenome. RNAcentral describes it as "partial contains small subunit ribosomal RNA, internal transcribed spacer 1, and 5.8S ribosomal RNA". The record is from RNAcentral.
UUUCCGUAGGUGAACCUGCGGAAGGAUCAUUAAAAGUAAUAUGUGUUCACUCGAAUAUACAUUAUAAACCCCCCUCUGUGUACCUUACCUGUUGCUUCCGCUGGGCAGUGAUCUCGAUCACCUGCGAACCGGAUGGCGCGAGCCAUUCGGUGGUAGAGUCCUCGCGAAUGGUCUACAUCAAACCCUUGCAUUUCUAUGUCAUCUGUCUGAACCUGUUUAUAACAAAUGUUAAAACUUUCAACAACGGAUCUCUUGGUUCUC